RNA transcript from Diorhabda carinulata, 1445 nucleotides. It is a transcript of the gene named beta-ureidopropionase-like, with no coding region annotated. Lineage: Eukaryota; Metazoa; Arthropoda; Insecta; Coleoptera; Chrysomelidae. The transcript has 9 exons. The record is from RefSeq and is a predicted model, not a curated record.
UGGAGCAAUAAAACAUUAAUUCGUUCAAUUAAAAUGUCACUUGAAAAAGAAGCAGACAGUAUUGAAUCAAUUUUACAGAAAUUACCCGACAAAGAAUUUCGACAAGUGUGGAGAAUAUUAUAUGGAGACGGUGGACAAGACUUAGACGUAUCUGAGAAAUGCAUGAAGCUAGCGUCGAGAUACAAAUUGGAAUUGGUUAAGUAUAAAUUUAAUCAUGUAGUUGAACAACUUAGACCUCCUCGAUUAAUUAGAGUGGCACUAUUCCAACAAAAGCUACCGGUACCAUUAACUUUUCCAAUUUAUAAAGUAAAAACGGAAAUGUAUACUUUAGCAAUGGAUGCUGUGAAAGUAGCUGCCAAAGGUGGAGCGAAGAUAUUUAGUUUACAACAAGCUUGGAAUAUGCCGUACGCCUUUUGUAGCGGGGAAAAAAUGCCUUGGAGUGAAUAUGCGGAAAAAGCCGAAGAAGGGUCGACAACGAGAAUAUUACAGUCGCUAUCUCAAGAAAACAAUAUUGUUAUAAUAUCAACAAUCCUGGAACGAGACGAAAUAUUUGAAGAUCGAAUUUGGAACACAGCUAUAGUUAUAGAUAAUCAUGGACGAGUUUUAGGAAAACAAAGAAGAAAUCAUAUACCUUGUGUAGAAAAUUCCAAUGAGCCUACAUAUUACUGUGAAGGUGAUAGUGGACAUCCUGUUUUUGAGACUGAAUAUGGAAAAAUCGGUAUCAAUAUUUGCUAUGAGAGGCAUUAUCCACUGAGUUGGUUCGCGUUAGCUUUAAAUGGUGCAGAAAUCGUAUUUAAUCCAUGUGGAGCGAUUGGCGAAGAAGCUGAACUUCUAUGGGGUAUUGAAGCUCGCAAUGCUGCAAUAGCGAACGGUUAUUACGUGUGUACAGUGAAUAGAAUAGGAAUGGAAAUAUAUGAUCAUGAAUAUGAAGAUGAAGAGGGUAAUUUAAUACAUCACAAAGACUCCGGACUCUUCUUCGGAUCUAGUUAUGUGACUGCUCCAAAUGGAUCAAGAUCCCCGGGUUUAUCAAGAACAAAAAACGGACUACUUAUAGCAGAGUUUGAUUUGAAUUUGUGCCGGCAAGUAAAAGAUAAUAGAGGAAUUGGGGUCCACUUUUAGAGAACGUAUUUGAAGAUAUGAUAUUUUCCUAAGCACAAAAUAUAAUAUAUCUCUUCAAAUAAGAAAUGGGAGAGAGUGAGAACUUUGAGAAGAAAAAAUGUAUAAGUCCGGUUCUGCUCAAAGCAGCAGUAAUUUAAACUGUUCUCAUAUUAUUGUCACCAGAUGGCGUUAUUUAAAUCACACGCACAUGCUACCCAAAUAUAGAGAUCUUCUUUUACAAGCCACAAAUUCAGAUUUUAAGCCGCAAGUUAUCAAAAAACACUGCCAUUGUUAUUCUAUAUAAAAAUUAAUUAUUUUGAAUGAAGGAAAAUAAAUUUUUCUUCUAA